UCCCGGUUAGCUCAAUUGGUCAGAGCGUCGGACUUUUAGCCACAGGUUCUCGCGAGCCUCGCUAUGGUCAUCCGAAGGCUGCGAGUUCGACCCUCGCAUCGGGAG
This is a transfer RNA of Colletotrichum sublineola, 105 nucleotides long. It matches the Rfam family "tRNA". Rfam says of the family: Transfer RNA (tRNA) molecules are approximately 80 nucleotides in length. NCBI's taxonomy places the organism in Eukaryota, Fungi, Ascomycota, Sordariomycetes, Glomerellales, Glomerellaceae. The record is from Rfam.